GAUGAACGCUGACAGAAUGCUUAACACAUGCAAGUCAACUUGAACUUCGGUUUGGGUGGCGGACGGGUGAGUAACGCGUAAAGAACUUGCCUCACAGUUAGGAACAACAUUUGGAAACGAAUGCUAAUACCUGAUAUUAUGAUUUUAGGGCAUCCUAGAAUUAUGAAAGCUAUAUGCGCUGUGAGAGAGCUUUGCGUCCCAUUAGCUAGUUGGAGAGGUAACGGCUCACCAAGGCGAUGAUGGGUAGCCGGCCUGAGAGGGUGAACGGCCACAAGGGGACUGAGACACGGCCCUUACUCCUACGGGAGGCAGCAGUGGGGAAUAUUGGACAAUGGACCAAGAGUCUGAUCCAGCAAUUCUGUGUGCACGAUGAAGUUUUUCGGAAUGUAAAGUGCUUUCAGUUGGGAAGAAAAAAAUGACGGUACCAACAGAAGAAGUGACGGCUAAAUACGUGCCAGCAGCCGCGGUAAUACGUAUGUCACAAGCGUUAUCCGGAUUUAUUGGGCGUAAAGCGCGUCUAGGUGGUUAUGUAAGUCUGAUGUGAAAAUGCAGGGCUCAACUCUGUAUUGCGUUGGAAACUGUGUAACUAGAGUACUGGAGAGGUAAGCGGAACUACAAGUGUAGAGGUGAAAUUCGUAGAUAUUUGUAGGAAUGCCGAUGGGGAAGCCAGCUUACUGGACAGAUACUGACGCUAAAGCGCGAAAGCGUGGGUAGCAAACAGG
RNAcentral lists this ribosomal RNA (722 nucleotides) under uncultured Fusobacterium sp. Its description in RNAcentral is "bacterial SSU rRNA". It matches the Rfam family "Bacterial small subunit ribosomal RNA", at positions 28 to 776 of the family's 1533-position model. Lineage: Bacteria; Fusobacteriati; Fusobacteriota; Fusobacteriia; Fusobacteriales; Fusobacteriaceae. The record is from RNAcentral.